RNAcentral lists this ribosomal RNA (392 nucleotides) under uncultured Methanosaeta sp. RNAcentral's name for it is "bacterial SSU rRNA". It matches the Rfam family "Archaeal small subunit ribosomal RNA", at positions 948 to 1338 of the family's 1478-position model. The record is from RNAcentral. Lineage: Archaea; Methanobacteriati; Methanobacteriota; Methanomicrobia; Methanotrichales; Methanotrichaceae.
UGAAGGUCAGGCUGAAGACCUUACCCGAUUAGCUGAGAGGUGGUGCAUGGCCGUCGUCAGUUCGUACUGUGAAGCAUCCCUGUUAAGUCAGGCAACGAGCGAGACCCACGUCCACAGUUGCCAGCAUACCCUCCGGGGUGAUGGGUACACUGUGGAGACCGCCGCUGCUAAAGCGGAGGAAGGAGUGGGCAACGGUAGGUCAGUAUGCCCCGAAUCUCCCGGGCUACACGCGGGCUACAAUGGUUGGUACAAUGGGCAUCUACCCCGAAAGGGGAAGGAAAUCUCUUAAAGCCAAUCGUAGUUCGGAUUGAGGGCUGCAACUCGCCCUCAUGAAGCUGGAAUCCGUAGUAAUCGCGUUUCAACAGAACGCGGUGAAUACGUCCCUGCUCCUU